CUGAAAAGUGAAGCCAAAACAUCUCGAUCGCCCCCUAGUGACCGGUCCCAGUAUAGGUCAUAAAGCCCGCCUCCCCAUGUUAUUCAAUGGGACUUGAGACCAACAAAAAAAAUUAAUUACACUUCAAUUAUCUUUUUUCCGAAGCUGGUUUCUGUCAUUUACUGUAGUUUUUAUCACGCUGAUGUAAAUUUAAAUGUUUGUUUUUAAAAUAGGUUUGUGUUUAGUUAGUUAUUUAAUGAUAUAAAAACGGUGGUGUCACGUCAUGAUUGACAGCUGUGAUAUCGUGUGAUAUGCGCAUUUUACGAGAGCGAGGGCGGGGUUUUGACUUCGCGCCUUCCCUUCCUGCUCACUACUGCGCAUGACUGGUCCCGAAAUCGCUAUUGCGCAGACUCAAGACCCAAGAUGUCAGCGCCAUAUCGGGCAACUGGCGGCUUCACUUUUCACCAAUGGAAGAGAGCGAACAGGCGUCGUCCAUCUUUUUUACAGUCUAUGCUUUCACAUGUCAGCGUGUUGUUGAAAUGAAGGGAUUAUGGAUUCUGAAGACCAUAAUAAUAAGGACAAUGCAGGACAAAGGCUGUCAAAUAACUGGAGUGUUUGUCUUGAUGGCAAUAUGCACUGUAUGUUAUUCUGGGACAGAAGUUUGACUUCACUGAAGUAAACAUGAAGAACAUAGGAAAAUGGUGGUGUGCCAUCUUGCUUGAAAAUUAAACAUGGGAGAAAGAGAAAAUGAGCUGUUGUAGCUGAAGAAGAAGAAGAAUGCUCUGCACUCCCUGAAACCUACGGGAAGAAAAAAAAUGAACUUGCAUAUGAAACAGACCAAACCGCAGUUGUGCCCUUUGUUUUUAGCAAGGAUGAGCUGUUAAAAGAUGAUGACCCUCCAUCAAGCUUUAUCUUCAAGGUAGUUGAAUGUUAUAUAAUGUGCUUUUUUUAAAAAUGUAACGGCCUGUGCUAACUUUUCAGUUAUCAGGAGCGUUGCUGAAGAACAUAGUUGUUCUUCAAGAAGAAGAUGCUGCCUACACGCUUGGCUUGCUCAAGGUUCAGGGACAUAGUUGGUGAUGACAAGUUCAAGAAUCAGGCACACUUCUUAUGGCUAGAAAGUAAAUAUUGACAUUAAAAAAUAAAAUGCAUAACAAGAACAUCAUUGAUAAUGUUAUGUGAUUUUUUCACCUCGGGUGUUACAUGCUGGAAAAAAGACAUCUCACUACAAACAGCUCUUCUGGAAGAUGUACUCAUUCUCCACUUGUUUGGAGUGUGGGUUUGAGUACAAAUGCUGCACACCUGGGACUUUUUGUGUAAAUUGGUGAUGAAUAAACUAGUUGUUAGUCUAGAGGAAAACUAAAAAUCUAAUUUACUUAUGUCAUCCCUUGGAGUUUAAAAGUUCUGGACACCAUUCAAUUGACCUACAGAACUGAGAAAUUAUUCCUAAUGUUUGUAAAUGUUCACUGUCAACUAUAAACCCUAGUUCUUAUUGUGCUUCUUGUGUAUU
Molecule: non-coding RNA, 1486 nt
Organism: Misgurnus anguillicaudatus (oriental weatherfish)
Lineage: Eukaryota; Metazoa; Chordata; Actinopteri; Cypriniformes; Cobitidae
Source: RefSeq, a predicted model, not a curated record